UGGGGAAUAUUGCACAAUGGAGGGAACUCUGAUGCAGCGACGCCGCGUGAGUGAUGAAGGAAUUCGUUUCGUAAAACUCUGUUCUAUGGGAAGAAAAGGACUGUACCAUAGGAGAAAGCUCCGGCUAAAUACGUGCCAGCAGCCGCGGUAAUACGUAUGGAGCGAGCGUUGUCCGGAAUUAUUGGGCGUAAAGGGUGCGCAGGCGGCUUUACAAGUUGGAUGUGAAAUAUUGUGGCUCAACCACAAACGUGCAUCCAAAACUGCAAAGCUUGAGUUAAGGAGAGGUAAGUGGAAUUCCUGGUGUAGCGGUCGAAUGCGUAGAUAUCAGGAGGAAUACCGGUGGCGAAGGCGACUUACUGGACUUAAACUGACGCUCAGGCACGAAAGCGUGGGGAGCAAACAGG
This 404-nucleotide ribosomal RNA is filed under the name Fusobacteriota bacterium. RNAcentral describes it as "Fusobacteria bacterium partial 16S ribosomal RNA". It matches the Rfam family "Bacterial small subunit ribosomal RNA", at positions 355 to 776 of the family's 1533-position model. The record is from RNAcentral. Lineage: Bacteria; Fusobacteriati; Fusobacteriota.